This 4026-nucleotide long non-coding RNA is filed under the name Pelobates cultripes (western spadefoot toad). Lineage: Eukaryota; Metazoa; Chordata; Amphibia; Anura; Pelobatidae. The record is from RNAcentral.
GUACAUUCCUAAAGUUAUGCAUGCUAUUUUGUUUUAACACUGUUAUUCAAGUGACUUUUUUUCUUUUGCUUUAAGUGAUGUUUCCUAGUAGCAAAAUUUCUUCUGUAGCUCUCGACUUUCAAGCCACUGCAGUCAAAUACUUUAGUAAUUCUAAAAUGGCUAUUUACUACCUCUCCCAUAUAACACUUGGACAACUGCAACAUAUAUAACCUUUUGUUUUCUCCUGUUGGUAAUGUGAAAGGCAUUGUAUGUUUGCAGAUAUUUUUAACUGAGUUUGUCAGUUAGUAUCACUGUAUCCCAUAAUGCAGUCAAGGUUUGUAGAAGUGACUGGUAAAUGUUGAAGAAACAGUUUAAAAAAAACCUCAAUAUGUUGUGCUUACACUAGAAUGCAAAUUAGUGGUGCUUCAUAUAACAAAUGUUUUCAUGUUAAUUUGAUUGGAGCCAGUUGUGUAAAGGUUCAAAAGCCCAGUUUGUAUAGUAAACACAUUCCCAUGCUUCAAUCUGUUGUACUAACGCAUCCCUGCUGUUUAUUUUUAACAGAAUUCAAGAUGUUUGAGAAUAUCUAAUUUCUUAAUGUAAGAAACUAGCAUUGUCUUGUGCAUGUGUAGAAUUGUGCGUCAUCUGCUUUUGAUCAUGCAAUUAUUUCCCCCAUAUGCAUAAAAAUGUAUUACAUGGUAAAACAAUAUAUGGCUAUCUUUACAAACCAGAAUGCAUGAUUUUAGUGUGAAAUUGGCAAAGUAAAAUCCAGCAAGUUAAAUGCACCCUGUGUAUCAAAAUUUUGUAUGACCUAGCCCUUUACAUUUUCCUGAUCCGUGAAGCUUUAGUAUUACUUUAUUUUUUAUUUUUUUUCCCUUCCCUUAUCAAAGUAGACACAUAUUGUUUUCCCAUAAUUCUUUUUUCUUUAAAUGUUAAUCUAAAAGUGGAUUGUUUGUGUUGUAAAAUAUUGGAGUCUCAAGGUAUAUGCUCCGUAAAUUAACAUGACAUGAAAGUAGCACAGGAAACUGGUUCAUAAACCUUGCUUUAAAAUAUAAAUUCAUGCAGGUUUAUCUUUUCAAUCAUUUAUUGCAGACAAGGUUCUGUAAUAUUACACAUGUUUAAUAGAGUAUAUUCUUAUACUAGAACCUUUGUACACAAUUUAUAAAAUGUCCCUCUUCUGUGGAAGUAUAUCUAGUCAUCUGAAAUCUGAAAUGCUCUGGGUUUUUUUUGUUUGUUUUUUGCAUGGUUGUUGCAUAGUAAUUCCAGUGAUUAGCAGUGGAUUAAAUCUGUUUAUUUCUGUAUACUGUGCUUAAACUGUACUUAGUGCAUUUAUACUUUAACAAUAUCAGGUUUUUUUUUUUUUUUCUUUUUCAUACUCAACAGCAGAUUCUUUCUGUUUUCAGUGGAAAUCUUGCUUUUUAUUCUGCACCAAUGACACCCACAAUGAGAUUGUAUAUAGUGUACUGUUUGAGUGUUGUGUGGCAGCAGUUUACUUUAGAAUGAAAGUGUAUUACAUGCAAUUCCUCUCAAGUGCCUUUUUGUAUGCACAAGAUACUUCAGAUGGUCUCUGAGCGAUCUCCUUUCAGGUUAGAUCCUAGACAUGCCUCAAAAAGCUGUAUUGAAGCCUUUUUUUCGAACUUAAAAGGAUAUCUAUAAUUUUUUUUUAAUAUACAUUUUUUUUCCUUUUGCUAUCUACUAGGGAUCACAGAUGAGUAAUACAUUUAAUCUGACUUUGGUCCACUGUUCAGCAUGGAUAUUUACUUCUCUCUGACCACGAAUAUCUGAAUUUUACUAUGGAGGGAGUCUAGUAAUAGACUGUUUGAUGUUACCCCUGCAACCUCUCUCCUGCUUAUCAUGAUUGUUAGGCAUUUUUUUUAUUUAGAGUGUGAAUGUUCAUGUAAUGUAAAAAUGACAUGCAGUACGUUUAUCAACAUUUGAAACAAACAUGACUUGUCAAUUUCGUUAAUGGUAUGUGUUAAUCUGCUUGCAUUAACACAUUAUAAGUCAUACGUCAACACAUUUAUUCUUUUACCAUUUUAUGGCAGUCCCAUUUUGGUUAUGUACCUGAUAGCCAGGCGAGAGAGAGAACAGAUUCAUCACUGAGCUGGUGAAGUGACUUGGAUUCCAUAUAUAUCUAUGCCUUGAUAAGUGCAGAGGGAAAAAACAUUUAAAAACAUAUUAAUCUUUGUAAACAAAUGUUCAGUAUCCCUUAGCUCCCUGCAUGACACCAAAAGUCCUAGUGUACAGCAUAUCUUCUUUUUGAGAAGAUUUGGACAAAUGCUAUUAUGACAUGACUGUCUUGUUACGAAGAGACCUGUAGAUUAUUUAGUUAUAUAGAAACUAAAUGUAUAGAUUGAGAGGGAAAUUGUGUAUUUUAUGCUUUGCUCAAACACCUUAAACAGUACUUGGGUAACAGUACUAUCUAAAGUCAAUAAGCCAGAAUUGCUGUUAUAAUUACAGUAGAUGUUUCAGCCCUUUUAUGAAAAAUCUUUUGACACUUGCAACUGCAAAUUAAGUCUGUUCUAAAAUGCAACAGUACCACAGUAUGACAUUGUUACUCUCUUGAGCACAAGCAUUUAAUAUAUCAUUUGGGUUUAAUGAAGGCUACAUUAAAAAGGACACUAUAGUCACCAAAACAACUUUUAACUUAAUGAAGCAGUCUUGGUAUAUAAAGCAUGCCCCUGCAGCUUCACUGGUCAAUUCUCUGCCAUUUAUGAGUUAAAUCACCUUGUUUAUGCAGUCUUAGUCAGACUUCCCUGCAUUUUACUUGCACCGCCUUCCUAAACACUUCCUGUAAGGAGACAUCUAAUUUUUAAACUUCCUUUCUUGCACAUUAUGUUUAAUUUAGAACCUUUAUAUCUCCUGCAAGAGCCUCCUGUGUGUGAUUAAAGUUCAGUUUACAGAGUAGGAGAUAUUAUCGCCAUUUAUAUAGCGCCAACAGAUUCCGUAGCGCUUUACAAUAUUGGAUAUAAACUUCUAAAACAAUUUAACAUCUAAUUGCAAAUUAAAUCAUUUUGUAUUUAUUUUUUUUAUUACAUUUUUUUUUUCCUGGGGUGGUGUAGCUAGGGCAGCAUAAACAGAAACAAAAGUGGUUUAACUCCAAAAUGAAAGAAUUGAGCAGUGAGACUGCAGUAGCAUGAUCUAUACACUAAAGCUGCCUCAUUAAGCUAAAGUUGUUUUGGUGACAUUUGUGUCCAUUUAAUAUGGAAAAGUUUUUAAAUUGUGACUGUCAGAUGAAUGGCAACAUUAAAGCUCAAUAGCAUUGAUGUAAGUGUGUGAAUAAAGUGUACCAUGCAUGUGUGUGUUUUUGUAUAAAAGCACACUAUAUAUGUUUACACUUAUACAGUGCAUAGUAACUCUUUUUGACUUGCAUGGAUGGUUUGUGUAUCCUUUUUUGGAUAAAAUUGGUGCAGAGUAUAUACAAAGCAGACUUCUUGUUGAAACACUUAAUUUCUGGCUGUUAUAUAUUUUUGAUUUUUAAUACUCAUGUCAGGGUAUAUUAAGAUUUCACUUGUUUAAUAUUAAAACCGUGUUUUCCCCCAAAAAUUUACAGCUGGCAACUGAGAAAAGAGGAUUCUAAUCUUCAAGGGGCUGUUUAACGAGAGGAAAAUUGAUGGAAAAGUGUUUGUUUAGUACAUGCACAUUUUACUAAAAUUGGCAGUUUAAAAAAAGAUUAUAUAUGAAUAUUGUGUAACUGCUAUUGUGAUGCCAGUUUCCGUGUUUUUAAGUGAAAAACGUCUUGACUUCGUUACUUUGUGCUGUACACACAAGAUUUCUGGAAAGUGAGGAGUACCCCUUUCUGGCUCACAUAACUUAAGUGGUCAUACAAAGCAUACACACAGUUGACCUGAUUUUGUUUCAUUCUCAAUAAAUUGUUUCUUUUGAGGAAAAUGUCUUUCUGCCUGGAAGUAAAUUGACGACAAACCUUACUACCCUUUUGUUUUGCAGCUUAAGGGUACUGUUCCUAAAUGCUUGAUUUAUUAGAACAAAGGCAAUAUUUCAUAAUCUACAAGCCGUUGAAAAAAAAAAAAAAACCAAAACAUUGACGUG